RNAcentral lists this ribosomal RNA (1079 nucleotides) under uncultured bacterium. RNAcentral's name for it is "bacterial SSU rRNA". It matches the Rfam family "Bacterial small subunit ribosomal RNA", at positions 45 to 986 of the family's 1533-position model. The record is from RNAcentral.
CGCUAAAUGCAGUCGAACGGGGCGUAGCAAAACACUGUGUGUUUUGCUAGUUGAUAGUUGACAAUUGACAGUUGACAGUAAUGGAAUCCGCGAAGCGGAUGGAUUGAAAAAUUCAUCGCCGAAGGCGAUACCAAUACUAUCAACUAUCAACUGUCAACUGUCAACUAGCGAAGCAAAACACAGAGUGUUUUGCUUCGCCUAGUGGCGGACGGGUGAGUAACACGUGAGCAACCUGCCUUAAAGAGGGGGAUAACGUCUGGAAACGGACGCUAAUACCGCAUAAGCUACCGGGGUGGCAUCAUUCUGGUAGUAAAGGAGCAAUCCGCUUUAAGAUGGGCUCGCGUCCGAUUAGAUAGUUGGUGAGGUAAUGGCUCACCAAGUCAGCGAUCGGUAGCCGGACUGAGAGGUUGAACGGCCACAUUGGGACUGAGACACGGCCCAGACUCCUACGGGAGGCAGCAGUGGGGGAUAUUGCACAAUGGGGGAAACCCUGAUGCAGCGACGCCGCGUGAGUGAAGACGGCCUUCGGGUUGUAAAGCUCUGUUGAGGGGGACGAUAAUGACGGUACCCCUUUAGAAAGCCACGGCUAACUACGUGCCAGCAGCCGCGGUAAUACGUAGGUGGCGAGCGUUGUCCGGAAUUACUGGGUGUAAAGGGAGCGUAGGCGGGACUUUAAGUUGGAUGUGAAAUAUCCGGGCUCAACCCGGGGGCUGCAUCCAAAACUGGAGUUCUUGAGUGGAGUAGAGGUAGGCGGAAUUCCUAGUGUAGCGGUGAAAUGCGUAGAUAUUAGGAGGAACACCAGUGGCGAAGGCCGCCCUACUGGGCUUUAACUGACGCUGAAGGCUCCAAAGCCGUGGGGGAGCCAACNGGAUUAGAUACCCUGGUAGNCCCNCUGUAAACNAUGAUUACNAGGUGUGGGGGGUCUGACCCCNUCCGUGNCCGANUUAACCNCAAUAAGUAAUCCCCCCUGGGAGUACCGGCCNCCAGGUUGAAACNNCAAAGAAUUGACCGGGGNCCCCCCCAGCCCUNGAUUUGUGGUUNAAUUCCAANCNCCCCCAAAAACCUUCCCAGGUUUGACC